UAGCACCUUAUUCCGUCAUAUUGUCUCUGGAUUUAAUGUAUUCCUAAUGUCACUUUUAUAAACAAAUAGAAGUUAAAACUUUACAAUAUUUUUGUAAAUUUGCAAUUGGAAGCUGCAAAAGGGACAAUAGAAUGUCAGCAAGGUUGGAACAAUUUUCGAUUUAAGUGGAAUUUACGGAAGGAUUUGACCUCACAACUAAUCUGCAAAAUGAAGAAGCAACAUAUUUUGUUACCGCUUAAAAGAAACAAUAGAAAUAGUACUUUGGAUUGAUAAAUAAAGAGUGAAAAUAAGGUUGACUAGAAGUUGAUUAAGUCCAAGGAAUUAAAAAACAAUAGAAAAAAACGUAGACUAGUGUGAACACUGAAAUAAGAAAUUAGAGUU
Pieris napi is the source of this 381-nucleotide long non-coding RNA. RefSeq lists it as uncharacterized. The transcript is spliced from 2 exons. The record is from RefSeq and is a predicted model, not a curated record. Lineage: Eukaryota; Metazoa; Arthropoda; Insecta; Lepidoptera; Pieridae.